AGCAGUCUCCGUGGUUGGUCUGGUGUAGUUGAUACAGUUCAUGUUUUCUGUUGGUAACGGGAGCAGAGUGAGUUUGUUCAUUUUGUGUUUUGAUUUCUGUUCAUUUGAUUUCUGUCGUUACAUUUUCAUUUGUGCACCACUCGUCUCCCUUCCUGGGAGCCCCGGGAGAGGGAGCAGAAUCCCGAGGCCAGAGUCGCAUCCUGGAUGGGGACUUCAUGGGGCGGGACUGACUGCCGGUCCCCCAAGCCCUCUGUGUCCCCAGUGGCUCCCGCGUCCCUCAGCAGAGCGGGGCAGGAGGUGUCCAUGGCGGCUCCUGGGGCCCGAGCUGAGAAGGCUGUCAGGGCAGGGGCAGUGGCAGUGCGGGCCCCUCUGUCCUGUGCACAGGGGCUCUGCUGCCCUGUCUGUGGUGGCUGUCCAAGGUUCAACACCCAAGAAGCCCCAAAAACUCGAUCUGCACCAGCAAGGAGACUUCCUGUGGAAGGACCUCUUGGUGCGUGGGCACUGGCUGUGUGCAGCUCUGUACUCGGGUCUAAGGAAGGGGAGAGGCCGCAGCAGCUCCCGGUCAGGCCCCAUCGCUGCAGCAGCCGGGGGUCCCUCUCCUGAGACUUGGAGCCGAGGUCUCGGCACUGCUCGUCCUUGCCCUGCUGCCCCAGCCCUCGGCCAGGCAGUGUGGCCAGGCGGCUCAGGGCAUCCUCACCGCGAAGCCAUCCUCAGGACAGACAGACUGCCCCGGGGUUUCCAUGGGAGAUGCAGCAGCUCUUACCUGGACAAGGCCAUGGCUCCUGUGCCGGAGGCCCCUGGAUGGAGGAGAUGGAAUCGGAGACGCCCAGCUUCAGAAUGCUCACCCUUCCAGAAGAGGUGUUGA
This 865-nucleotide long non-coding RNA is filed under the name Oryctolagus cuniculus (rabbit). Its description in RNAcentral is "lncRNA (ENSOCUG00000032439.1)". The record is from RNAcentral. Lineage: Eukaryota; Metazoa; Chordata; Mammalia; Lagomorpha; Leporidae.